UGUCCCCAGGGUCUCAAUUAAUGUCCCCAGUGUCCCAACUGGUGUCCCCAGUGUCCCAGCUGGUGUCCCCAGCAUCUCAGCUGGGGGUCCCAGUGUCCCAGUUGGUGUCCCCAGCAUCCCAGUUGAGGGUCCCAGUGUCCCAGUUGGUGUCCCCAGUGUCCUAUUUAGGGGUCCCAAAGUCCCAGUUGGUGUCGCCAGUGUCCCAAUUGGGGGUCCCAGUGUCCAAUUGGGGGUCCCAGCGUCCCAGUUUGGGGUUCCAGUGUCCUAGUUGGUGUCCCAGUGUCCCAGUUGGGUGUCCCAGUUGUCCCAGUGUCCCAGUUGGUGUCCUCAGUGUCCCAGUUGGUGUCCCCCUGUCCCAGUGUCCCAGUUUGUCCCAGUGUCCCAGUUGGGUGUCCCAGUUGUCCCAGUGUCCCAGUUGGUGUCCCAGUGUCCCAGUUGGUGUCCCCCUGUCCCAGCUGUCCCAGUGUCCCACCCUGAGCAGCAGCAGCAGCCCCGGCCCAGCCGAGCAGAGCAGCAGCAGCACCCCCUGCGCCGUCAGGAUCCGGUUCUUGGUGCUCUCCCUCAGCGCCAGGAACGGGGCGGGAACCGGCUCUGUGGGAACGGGACUGGGUAACUGGGAGGGACUGGGUAUACUGGGAGGGACUGGGUUACACUGGAGGGCACUGGGUUAUACAGGGAGGGACUGGGCUAUACUGGGAGGGAGUGGAGGGCACUGGGUUAUACUGGGAAGGAGUGGAGGGCACUGGUGGUGACUGGGUUAUACUGGGAGGGACUGGGUUACACUGGGAGGGGCUGGGUUAUACUGGGAGGGCACUGGGUUACACUGGGAGGGACUGGAGGGCACUGGUUUAUACUGGGAGGGACUGGAGGGCACUGGUGGCGACUGGGUUAUACUGGGAGGGACUGGGCUAUACUAGGAGGGUACUGGGUUAUACUGGUAGGGAGUGGAGGGCACUGGGUUAUACUGGGAGGGACUGAGUUAUACUGGGAGAGAGUGGAGGGCACUGGGUUAUACCGGGAGGGAGUGGAGGGCACUGGUGGCGACUGGGUUAUACUGGGAGGGACUGGGCUAUACUAGGA
This 1080-nucleotide long non-coding RNA is filed under the name Manacus vitellinus (golden-collared manakin). RNAcentral describes it as "lncRNA (ENSMVIG00005016851.1)". Lineage: Eukaryota; Metazoa; Chordata; Aves; Passeriformes; Pipridae. The record is from RNAcentral.